GACGAACCGUACAAACGUUACUCGGAAUUACUGGGCUUAAAGGGUGCGUAGGCUGCGCAGAAAGUUGGGUGUGAAAGCCCUCGGCUCAACCGGGGAAUUGCAUUCAAAACUACUGUGCUCGAGGGAGACAGAGGUAAGCGGAACUCAAGGUGGAGCGGUGAAAUGCGUUGAUAUCUUGAGGAACACCGGUGGCGAAGGCGGCUUACUGGGUCUCUUCUGACGCUGAGGCACGAAAGCUAAGGUAGCAAACGGG
Molecule: ribosomal RNA, 253 nt
Filed under: uncultured bacterium
Lineage: Bacteria
Description: partial 16S ribosomal RNA
Rfam family: Bacterial small subunit ribosomal RNA
Source: RNAcentral